GAAGACAUAAAUAUUUUUGGUUAACAGUUAAAUUUUUAUUACUUCCAAACUUAAAAUUUUUAGGUGAAAUUUUAAUUUUAUUAUAAGUGGAUAAUGUUGAAGCUGUGAAAUUUAAUUUAAAAACAAGGAUUAGAUACCCUUUUAUUUUAAAUGUAAAUAUUAACCUGGGUAGUAAUAGUUAUGUACUUGAAACCCAAAGAAUUUGGCGGUAUUUUACUCUUUUUAGAGGAACCUGUCCUGUAAUUGAUAGUCCACGAUGAUAAAACACUUUUUCUUGUAAUCAUUUUGUAUACCUCCGUCAUAAGAGUAUCUUUUUAGAGUUAAUAUUCUUUAUAUACAAAAUAUAAAAUGUCAGGUCAAGGUGCAAUUUAUGGGAAAGUAGAGAUGGGUUACAAUAAAUUUAUUUAUACGAAUUACUAUAAUUAUAUUUAGUAUGAAGGUGGAUUUAAAAGUAAUAUUAUUUUCUUAAUAAUCUGAUUCUAGCUKUAAAAUAUGCACACAUCGCCCGUCGCUCUUAUUUUAAAAUAAGAUAAGUCGUAACAUAGUAGAUGUACCGGAAGGUGUAUCUAGUAAGU
This 575-nucleotide ribosomal RNA is filed under the name Nannophya pygmaea. RNAcentral describes it as "partial 12S ribosomal RNA". Lineage: Eukaryota; Metazoa; Arthropoda; Insecta; Odonata; Libellulidae. The record is from RNAcentral.